UGGGUGGAGAUGAAAGUCACAUUCUUUGCAGUAAAAAGACCAACCACUUCCCGGCUCCCUACACCAGCAAACAUAUUCGUGGUGAAGUACCCGUGUGAGCUCAUGUUCAGCAUGGAGUUCACUCUUCACUUUCUCAGGCCACCCCUUUGCUUCUUCCUCUAACUUUUCUUCCAAAUGCUUCAAAUGCUCUUCUGUGAAUGGAUAUGCAUCAGCUCCAUAUGCUUGUAUGAGCUGCCGUGCUUGCGUGCUGAGUGUCUGGCCAUUGGGGCUAAUGGCCACCAAUGCAGGAAUGCCUUGGAUUUUGAAUUUGCGCUGCACUAAUGCCUUCCUUGGAUCACCUAGCGGGAGGGCUAACCAAGGCAUGGUCGAAAAGAACUCUUUGAAGGAGGAAUGAUCACGAUCACUUGAAAUGAAGAUAAUUUCAAAUGCACUAUCCUUUGCCUUAAUCUGAUUGUAUGCUUUUAUAAGCUUAGGCAUGAAUGCGCGACAUGGGGGACACCAAUGAGCUGAGAAAUAGAGCAUAAUGUGCUUCCCAGCAAGCUCAGAUACCGGUACCUAUAGUCAAAGAUAGAACAGAAACUUGAAAAACGCAAUUAGAAAACCUCUAAUUAAUGACCAUAAAGAAACCUUUGAAAUUCAAUGGCAUGGAAGAUUAGAAAAGAUUGAAGAUUUUGAACCAAGAGGAAAAUUGUACCUUGGAACCGGUCUUUUCAAUCACAAAGUUUCUGUCCCCAGCAACCAACAGUGACUCCAGAGUCUGUUCUUCGAGUUUUGCCUUUGAAAUAUCAGCAAGCUCAGCAAUCUUCUCAGCUGUAAACGGGUAGGCUUCAAUGCCAUACUCUUCAAUGAGUUCAACUGCAUUUGGGCGUAAGGUCUUCCCAUCUUGCCCGAUUAUAACCAGUGUAGGUACAUUUUCAAGCUCAAAGUGGCGAGCAAGUUUUUCACAGCUCUUGGCCUUAAAUGGCAGUGCCAACCAUGGCACUUGAAACCCUUGUUUGAAGUGUUCCUCUUCAUAGUCUAGAGAUAUCAACACAAUCUCAAAGUUCUCUCCUUUCUCCUUGAGUUUCUCAUGGAACUUCAGAAGUGCCUGAGUAAAAUCUUGGCAUGGCUUGUGAGUAUGAAGUGAGAAGUACAGGCCAACCAUCUUUCCUUCAAGCUCAGAUACAGGAACCUGCAAAUACAUGUACUCAUGAUCAUCAACUAUCUCAUUCAUGUAAAAAAGAAAAGAAAAGAAAAGAAAAGGGGCAACCCAAUAUCAUAGAAGUUCUAGCAAUGUUGGCAUGGGACAAAAAGUUGUACCUUACUCCCAUCUUUCGAAAUCAAAUAAUCCCGAGACCUAGAAACCAAGAGAGAACUCAAGGACUGAUUCUCCUUAGCAGCUGCUUCUUGCUCUUUCAAGAAAUUGAUCUUUUCCGCGGUGAAUGGAUAACCAUCAACACCAUGUUCCAUCACAACUCUAGUCCCUUGAUCAGUAGAAACCUUCCCAUUGGCAUCAAUAAUGACAAGAUUAGGAAUCCCCCUAACCUUGAACAACUCCUUUAAGCGUUUUCGGGCCUCCAAAUCUGAAAAUGGAAUGGCAAGCCAUGGCAUUUCAGAGAAGUAGCCACUGAAUGACUUAUCGUCUCUAUCAGAAGAGAUAAACACAACUUCAAAAUCGCCUUUGGAUGCCAAGUCCUGGUAGACCUCCACCAAGCUUGGGGUGAAACGGCGACAUGGACCGCACCAUGAGCCAGAAAAAUACAACCCCACAAUCUUUCCGCUCAAACUACUGAUCUCAACCUACAUAUUCAUCAAAGAUCACCAUGACCCAGAAAAUCAAACAGAGUCAUCUCAAUCUGUUUUUCAUAUAAUCAAAUGUCAAAGUCAAAACUUUGAGAUGAAAUUGGGAAAAAAAGCAAUUGCAAAUCAUUUAAUCAACUGGGUUUCUUCUAUAACACAUUUAGAUGAGCAUUCUAAUAUUCCCAAACAAAAUGCGAACACUGCGGUCUGCUUUUUUUCUUCUCCAAUCUCCAUGAACAUAAAGAUGAAAACUUUAUCAGAAAUAAUCAAUUUCUGAGUAUGGUUUACCUGGUCGGCGUUGUUGUGGACGAGGAAGUUCCUGUCCUCGGAGGAAAGCAGCGAAAACAGGUCGUGAACAACGCCGUCUUCGUCGCCGUUGGCCAUGCUUGCUGAGUCUCUUGUGCUGUAUUUUUGGUAAUUAACUUCGCCGGGUAACUCUGUGACUUUUUGAGGUUCGUUGAGACCACUAAUCACUGAAUAUAAUAACGAACAAACACGCAAUUAGGAGCUGGCUGGCUAAGUGAUUGAGUUGGAUGCUUUUUCUGUGUUAUUAAAAUAUUCUCUCUCCUCCAAUCUCCAUAGAGAUUUUCAGACUCUUUCUUUUUUCAUUAAAGAAUAAUGCUUGUUCUUUUUUAAUAAGAUAUUGCUUGUUGGUGUAAAUAAAUAUAAAUCAUGAAGCAUAAAAUCCCCUUAGACCAAGUCUUGUCACGUACACAGCAACUUUUUCUUUUGGGUCCAGUUAGGGCUCGUUAAUGGGCCGGGCCGGGCUAGUUCCGGCUCAAAUUUAAUGGACUUGGAUCGGGUCAAGUCGGGUUUUAAAGAGGAGAGAUAAAAUAUUGGGCCGGGCCGAAUUUUUUUAGAAAAUUUAAAGCCUAAGCCUGACCCAUGAGCCGGGCUUGAGAAAGUCCAUCGAGCCGGAUCGAGCUAAACCCAACCGGCCAGGCCUAAACGAACCGUACUUCAUUAAAAAAAAAAAAUCAUAAACUUAAUUAUAAAGGCAUUUUAGUCCAAAUUUGAUAUUAAACUCCCUUAAUUCCAAUAUUUUCACUUCAAACCAAAUUCAUAAAACACCCAAUAAAGUCACACAACUUAUAAGAUUUUUCACAAAAAUAAUAAAACCAAGUAUUAUUUUUGAGGUUAUUACAUAAUUAGAUCGUAAUAUAUUUUAAGAAAUCAUUUUUAAAAAAACCAAGUAUAAAAAAAAAAAAAUUAAGGAUCGUAUGAAUAAAUAUGCAAAUAUUUGGCGAUGUGUUCAAGAAAAGCAUGAUUAUAUUUGGUGUUACGAUUAUGUUUCGUGAUAUGAUUAUAUUUGGUGAUGUGAUAUGUUGUUCAUCUUAUAUAUAUAUAUAUAUAUAUAUAAUUGUUGAAUUAAUAAUUGACACAAAUUAAUGUGUUAAUCAUCCAAUUAUAAACUAGGAAUGAGUAAAGAAAAGUAAAUGAAAUGAAACAAAUUAUAUAUGUGAUUUAAAUAAUAUAAUCCAAAACCUAAAAUCUUAUUUAUAUAUAAUUAUAUAUAUGGGCUUAACGGGUCGGGUUUUUGUGGGCGGGCUGGACCGGGCUUUUAUGGGUUUAAUCGAGCUGGACCUAUGAGCCAGACCAGGCUUUAGACACCCAAAUCCAAGCUUAGCCCAACCCAAAGCGGGGCGAGCCAUUUCAAAAUCCAUAACGGGCCGAGCCAAGCUUUUUUUGAUGAGUCGAGUGAGCCCCAUCAGCCCAUAAACCCGCAGACCAAAUAAUGAGGCCUAGUUCCAAUAGACAGCAACUUGUAUGAAACUGGAAUCGGUGGAAUUUAUCCUCCAAAACAAUAAUUAACAAAAGGAUUCAUAAGAAGAAAAAAAACCUUCCAACAAAAAAACAGCAAAGAAAAAACUAGAUCGUGGUUUUGUUAACAGAAUAUAAUAUUAUUUUAUUAAAUAAAAAAAGUUAGCCACGACUUUGGGUCAAGGCUCCUUUAUUUCGUGUUUAUGACAAAAAGAAAAGGAACCUUUCCUGUGUUGGCCAUGGGCCAUGCCUUUUUCGCCUGCCCGACAUAUUAUAUACACACGUUGGCAGCGUGCAAAUAAUCAUCCAUGGGAAAGGAAAGUAUGAGUUCUUAUAUUCCUUUCAACAGUAAUAUAACAUGAGUACUAUUAUUUCUACCCACUUAUUUUAUUUUCUUAUUUAUUUUAUUUUUAAAAUUUUAAAGACAAAUUUAUUCCUUUAUAAAAUUAUUCUUAAGAACUUAAAAAAAUAUAUUUAAAAAUUCAUAUAAAGUAAAUUUAUUUUCUUUCACAACACAAUAUAUUAAUUUUAAAAAAAAGAAAAAAAAGAAAAAGAAAGCAAGCUCAGGAAACUUGCAAGAUAGGAGAAAACAAUCGCAUAUGCAAACCUGUACAACUGCAACAUCAAGGAAGCAAUGCGAUGAACUCACCAUUCAUAUGGCAAUUCCCCUUUAGAAUACAAUUUUAAAAACGAAAAGAAAAAAAAAAAAGAACCCUCCCACCCCAACCCCGAUGGCAAAUUCCCCUUCAUGGCCGCCGCUGCCGCCUCCCUCUUUUGUUUCUAUUCCUUCCUCCAUCUCUCUUUCGUCUACAAAGAACAAUCUUAUUUAACAUCUAUUGUUCGUUUUAAAAAAUUUCCCUUUUCUUCCUUAACAUCAACAACGUAAUCUUAAUCUCAAUCCUUCAUAUGGGUCGUCUCCAUCUUCCUCGAAAUUAAAAGAAUCAAAAAAUCAAAAAAAUAAAAGAUUGUACAGAAACCACCAGCCAUCACGAACCUAGCACUACCUCCCCUAGUCGACUCCUCCCACCACGAAUCCGUCAAUUAUAUGAGCGGAUGAGAUUUGCAAAUAAGACUUGCUGGUGUGAUAUGGAUCGCAGGUCCAACUAAACCCCAGUCAACUUAUGGUAGAUCCACAGUCAACUUGCAUAUUUCUUCUUUUUUAAAGAGAGAGGGGGAUAGAGAAAAGAAGAGAAACAAAGAGGAAGAGGGGGGCGGUGGGAGGUCGUUGAUGAUUCUUUUUCUUUUCUUAUUUUUAUUUUUUAAUUAUUUAAAUUAAUAAUUACAAGAUAUUUUAAGAAUAAUAGUGAGUGAAAAAAUAAAAUUAUAUAUUUUUUAAAUUUAGAUAAUGGGUGAAAAUAUAAGGUGGGUGAGAAAAUAAAAAAAGAUGGUGAAUGUGGGAACCUAAUUAAAUCAAACCCUAGGUCAAAUAAUUCCUAUCAUUUGGGGAUUAUUUGACCAAAUUGGGAGUCAAUCAACCUAAUUAGGAGUUACUCAAUUUAAUUGGGAAUUAUCCAAUUAAAUUGAACGUUACCUAAUUAGGUUGAGAUUUGAUUUGGUUAAUUACCACGAUCCCCAAUUAAAUGAGAAGUUACCUAAUUGAAUCGGGAUUUGAUUUGAUACCUACCACAAUUAGGGAUUUGAUUUACCCUAAUAAAUCAAAUCAAUCCCAAAAAGGGGAGGAAUAAUUCCCUUCCAUCUACGGAAUUAUUCCUCAGAAACCCUAGCCUCCGAGACUACUAUAAAAGCAUAGCCAUACACAAGGGUUAAGGUACGCCUAAAAUCUUACUAAAAUCUCUGCAGAAAAUUCCUCUCAAACCCUAGCUACCUCCUCUCUUUCUCUCUUUUACAUAAGGCUCCGGCCGCCCGAUUUAUAUUAUAAACACAUCCCGUACCCUAUUUUAGCUAUCGUUUCUCUAAAGAUCGAUUGAACUGACUUAGGCAUCGGAGGGCCUUUGGCCAACACCCCCCGGGUCUGGUCUUUUACUCCGAUCUGUUUUGCAGGGAGAAAGAGAGGCGGAGAAGACGAAGGAAUCUUGGACGAAUAUUCUCCCGUGAGAUUAUUUGCACAAACAGUGAAUAUAACAACAAUCUAUAACAUAUAUGCAGAAAAUUUACUUUUUGUGUUUUCGAUACUUUAUUUUUACAUAUGUAUCAAAUUGUAAUUUGCAAGAAAGAAUAUCUCCUUAUAAUUAUAUUAAAGUGAUGCGUACCUUUUAUUUAAGCAAUAUUGAUAGAGAAGUGAUGCGUACCUUUUAUUUAAGCAAUAUUGAUAGAGGAGAAUCAAAUACAUGACAUUACUAGACAUUAGAUACUAGUAAUUCUUAAUAAAGUGAAAAUGGAAUGAAACAAAGACAAUGGAAUGAAAUGAAAUCACAGAUCCUAACAAUGGAAUGAAACAAAGACAGUGAAAUGAAAUCACAGAUUUAUGUAAAUGCACAACCUCAUCAAAUCUUAUAAUAACAUUGCAGCAUCUGAAACGACAAGACAAUACAUUGGGACACAACAGAAAGAAACUAUUCAACAUAAACAACUCUAAUAAUCUCCAUAUGAGAUUUUACGCCUUAAAUCACACACAAUCUCCAUAUGAGAUUUUUAGCCUUAAAUCACACACAUACUUCUUAAGCUUUUUUACACACAUUACCAUCGCACUUAAAUCCUUCUUGGGGAGGAUCCUGUUCCUGCUUGGCAUCACUUUUGGUUCUCUUAUCUUCCUCCAAUGCACACUUUGGGUGGAGAUCAAAGUUACACGCCUCACAGUAGAAUGACCAUGCCCCUCCCGGUUCACCACACCCGUCACAUACAUAAUUUUUACGGCGAGCAAGCACGAGCUCGUGCUCCUCAUGCUGUGCACUCUUCAACUUCUCAGGCCACCCCUUUGCCAUCUCCAAAUACUCUGCUUCUAUCUCUUUCAGCCGCUCUUCAGUGAAAGGAUAAGCAUUAGCCCCGUGCUGCAUAACGAGGUUUCUUGCUUCUUUUGUGACUGUUUGGCCAGUAGGACCAAUGGCUACGAGCAUGGGGAUGCCUUUCACCUUGAAUUUGCGGCUCAAGGAUGCUUUUCUCAAGUCACCAAAGGGAAGAGCAAGCCAUGGCAUUCCAGAGAAAAACUCAUCAAAAUCGCCUUGGUCUCUGUCACUAGAAAUGAAAAUAACUUCAAAUGCAUCAUCCUUUGCCUUAAUCUUGUGGUAAGCUUCAACAAGUUUUGGUAGAAAGGCACGGCAUGGAGGGCACCAAUGAGCUGAGAAAUAGAGGAGGAUGUUCUUCCCCACCAAAUCUGACACAGGAAUCUGAAUCCACAAAUAAUAGUUGUCAUUCAGUUAUUACCACAAACAGCACAAACACGCAUACAGAGAGUUGUCACCUGCCCUGACAAAAGGAACCUGCGGGAUUUUUGCCCCACAAUGCACACAAAAAUCUCACUUUUAAAACCAUAAAAGGAGGUUAAAAACGAUUAUCUUACCUCAGUUCCACCUUUUCCAAUGACAAAGUUUCGAUCCCCAGAUACCAAAAUUGACUCCAGGGUUUGAGCUUUCUCCUUUGCCUUUUCUAUCUCAAUAAGCUCUGCAAACUUCUCUGGGGUGAAGGGGUAAGCCAGAACCCCAUGCUCUUCAAUGGCCUCAGCAACGUUCUUACUAACAGUUUUACCAUCUGCCCCAAUAAUAACCAAAGUGGGUAAGGUUGAAAGCUCAAAGUAUCGAGCCAACUUCCCAAUAUUUUUGUCCCCGAUUGGCAAGGAAAACCAAGGCAUGUUCUUAAAAUCUUGCUUGAAUGAUUCUUCAUCAUCAUCAAGUGGUAUCACCACAACCUCAAAGCUCUCUCCAUUUGCUUUUAGCUUCUCAUAAACCUCCAAAAGUUUUGGAGUAAAGUCAACACAUGGACUGUAUACAGACAAUGAAAAAUAGAGACCCACUAUCUUCCCUUCAAGUUCAGAGACAGGCACCUUAAUAUAUGCGCACAUUGAGAACAACAGUCAGAUUGGGGCCCGAAAUACAUUUUAUGAUACAUGUAUAAAAAAUGAGACUAGUAGUUAGUAGGCAUAAACAAGCAGUGACAUUGAAACUUACAUUCUUUCCGUCAUUUGAAAUUACAAAGUCACGUAAGCGAGAGACCAAGAUCGUUUUCAAGGACUGAUCCCUUCUGGCUGCUGCUUCUUGAUCAUUUAGUUCUUUUAUCUUUUCUGGUGUAAAAGGGUAGCCGUCUACUCCAUGCUCCUUAAUAAUCUCAACUCCACUAUCACUCAAAACUUUGCCAUCUUCACCAAGGAUCACAAGAUGGGGUAUCCCUCUGACCUUGAACAGUUUAUCCACGCGAUCACGUGCCUCUUUAUCAGAAAACGGAAUUGCAAGCCACGGCAUCUUGGAGAAGUACCCAUUGAAUGACUCAUCAUCUUCAUCAGCUGAGAUAAAUACAACCUCAAAAUCACCUUUGGGAGAAAGUUCAUUGUAGGCCUCCACUAAAGAAGGGGUGAACCGUUGACAUGGACCGCACCAUGAUGCAGAAAAGUACAACCCAAGCUUUUUCCCCUUCAAGCUUUCAACUUUAAUCUGAUCAAGAAUUUAACAAAUGAUUCCUCUCUCUCAUAUUAUCCCCACAGGAUCCUAAGAUAUGACUACCAAUGCCUAUGCUCGAUCCAAACCCCUCUACAUCUUAAAAAUCAAUCUUCUUUUCCACUAUUUCAGUGAACUUUUCUAAUCACUACUUUUAAAUAAACCACGAUUCGAAUUAAUCCAUUGCACACAUAUCCGAACAGAUUAGAAUUCAAAUUCAUAUAUGCAUAAAAACAAUAUAACUAUUGAGCAUAUAUACACAAACAAAUGCUGAAUACAAUUCACCCAUCCCUGAUAUGAACUUAGCCUAACCCAAUCCAAAACCUUGCAAACAGAGCAAUUGAAGAUAGUAACUUCGUUUUUCUUAUGACAGUCAAACUCAGCCUCCAUUUAUUUUCUAGUUGCGAAUACAUCUAUCUACCACUAUGAUGACAGACCAAAUUCAAAGACCCCAAAUUGACUCUAAUUGUGUUUGUGGGUAUUGUUCGUGUUAGCUUGAUUUUUGUAGUGGAGUUUGCAUUGAGUAGCUUGUGGGUUUGUGACCACAAAACAGAGAUAAGGGGUGGCAAUUGAGGUGUUUGUUGGUUUAGCCAUACUCCCCAUAAUCUCCUAUGGCGAUUUCAGGGCGGAAGGUGAUGAAAUUGAAGGUUAGAGCAUCUGACAGGAUGGAAGAGGAGAAGGGAAAAGGUGGGGGUGUGGGUGUUGGUGGGGCGGGUGGGUCGGACUGGGGUGGUGGUGAAAUUGGGUGGGAGGGAAGGAGGUCGUACAGGCAAAGAUUUUUCAAAAAAUAUAUAUCCUUCUUUAUUUUUGUAAAUAUAUAUACUUUCUAAUUUUUUUAUUGAUGAAUUAAACUAUUUUUCUUUUUCUUUUUAUUUAUUUAAAUUUUGUCAAACCACACUAUAUGAACGUUGCCAUAUUUACUAGACAUAAACAGCAAAUACAUCUACCGACCAGUGUGACGACAUACCCAAUUCAACGACCCCAAAUUGACUCACACAAAUUUUCCAUAUAAAUCUGUAGAAAAAACUGAUUUAAAAAUCCAAAUAAAGAUUCAUAUUAUUUUAACUGACCCUACGUUUUCUGGAAAAAAAAUAAAUAAAUAAUUAAAGAAGCAGCUUAAAACACGUUCUUUCUUCUUUGUUCUGUCGCUCAAGAAGCUUGUAGCCGCUGCCUCCUCCUCCAAUUCUACAUCGCAGUGGAGGGAGGUGUGGCUUCAAUUACACACCCUCGUCAUCGAUUCCGAAAAGUGUGACCAACCCAUCAUUGAACAUCCGCUUCAAUACUCUUUGGGUGUGAAUCUAAUAAUUCUUCUCUGAUUCUUUCUUUGGUCUAAGAAAAAACAAAUUGUUUUUAAAAAAUUUUGAUUAACCUCCACGAAACUCUCAUAUAGUUCAUCUUCAGUUUUCAGAUACUAUUUUCUUCGGUUACAGAUUGUAAACCACAGUAUAUUUUCUUCCACUGUUGUAGUUUUCUACUGGGUUUGAUUGCAACGGGUGCAGCGCUGUUGAAGGUUGAUUGUCUUCUGUUUUCAUCGAUGGGUUCUGAGGUGAAAAUAAUGCAAAACAAUCAGAUAUUGAGAGGUGAAAAUAUACCUGAUCACCAUUGUUGCGGACAAGAAAGUCCCUCUCGGAAGAAGAAAGCAGCGAGCAAAAGUCGUGGGGUUCGCUGUUGACCAGCUCAGCGACGUUUUGUUUACUAUCGGACAUACUGGUUUCUCCUGGAUUUUCUUCAGCAGGAUUGAAUUACUCACCCUUCUUAUUUGACCCUCACUUAUACUCCUCUUCUUAAGACCCUCACUUAUAGUUGUUCUUGCGGACUUUGCUCUCUAUUCCACCGCCUUGGCUAUUAUAGCCACAUAUUUGUUUAUCUUCUAGACAAUUCUGGCUGCUGACUUACUUUUCCAGAUUUUUCUAUACUUAAGCGCAUGGAUGCGCCCAAAUUUCAGCCCUUGGAUCACUUUGAAUCUAUGGCUCUUAACAAACACUGAAAUUGAAUCCCACUGUACAACCGGUGGAGAAAGAAAGAGAAAAAAACAAAUCAAAAAAGCUGACAGCCAACAUGGGCUAUAUAAAAAAAAACAGUCAUGUAGUCAAAGAGAUCAGGACUGUUUAUAUAUAUAUAUAAUUUAUUUAUUUUUUGAGUUAUAUAUAAUCUCGAUUUUUUGGACCACAGGAGUUCAAGAGAUUGUGAUCACCCACCAUUGGAUAUUAAUCUAAUGGUUCAAAAAAGUUUUUUAAAAGUGAGUGAACCGUUGAAUUUACAUCUAAUGGUGAGUGACCACAAAUCUCUUGGACUCCUGUAGUCCAACAGAUCAGGACUGUAUUUAAUGUAUACGAAUAGUAUGCUAGUUUUUUUUUUAUUAUUUAUUCAAUUUCUCUUUUGGGUUGAUGUAUACGUAUAUGAAAACUUAAAGUAAGAAUGUAAUUAACUGAAAAAACCAAUAUAAAUUAAAAGAAAAUUAUAAUAAACAGAAAAUUUUAAAUAUAUUUAGAUUAAAAUAAUAAUAAUAGGCAUUAAAAAAUUUGUUCCAUGUUUUUUUUCCACUAAUCUCACUUCUAUUAUUUUUCCAUUACUCCACCAGUAACUAGCAUGUGAAUGAUUUCUAUAAAUUAAAAACCACAUAUUUUAGUAAAAUAUAAAAAUAUUAGGAAUGGCCAAAAUUAGGAAAAAUAAUAGAAUGAUCUAAAGUUUCAAAAAGUAGUUAGUAAAACAUUAGAUUUUUACAUGUCAAAUAUUUAUUUAUUUGUAGUUAUGUUAAAUUUCAAUUUUAAGUAAUCAUGAUAACAUCUUGAUUACCAUUUAUAAAAUAUAUAUCUCGAUCAUUGAAAAUUUUGUGUGCAUAAAAAUACAUAAAAAUUAUGCAAAUGUUAUUUCACCAAAUAUUUUAAAAUCUAAGAAUAUAGAUUUUUAUAAACUUGUUCUUAGUUUAAAGUAUAGUCCAUAUUUGCAUAUAAUAUAACAUAUUAUUGCUAAUAAUUUAAAAUCUAAGAAUAUAGAUUUUUAUAAAAUUGAUUCUUAAUUUAAAGUAUAGUCUAUAUUUUCAUAUAUAUAACAUAUUAUUGCUAAGCAAAAGAACCCUAUCAUACACAAGCAUAUGAUCAUAUAAAUACUUCUUUGUAAAAUCGAUCAAUUACUAAACGAAUUUUUUUCUUCAUGUUUUCAAUGAAAUUUCUUUUUUAUUUUUUCGUUGUGUAUUUAUAAAAAUAUAUAUAAUAAAAAUAAUCAAAUAUAAUAAUUCUAUAUUUAUAAUAUAGAAUUAUAAAUAAAUAUUAAAUGAAAUAUAUAUAAAUAUGUUAUACCUUAAUUUAUAAAGAAAAUGACCCAUAGUACAAUGCUAAGGUAAGAGUAGACAUUGAAGAAGUAAAAUUGGGUCCUUAGGUUUGUAAACACAAGACUUUACAUCAUUAAGGACUACUAUUACACUAUCAUGGACAUAUGCAUUCCAUAAGCUUGUAAAUCAUAUCAUUAAGUUUGUACAUUUCAAUAUUUGGUUUCGCAGACUUUGCACCUUCGUUACAACAUUAAGGUGAAUCAUAAUCCAUAACAUUGUAAUAUUCAUUUACAAAGAAAAUGAUCCCCCUUACAACAUUAAGGUAAAUGUGGCCUUUAGAGAAGUAAUUGUGAAACUUAUUCUUGUAAACACUAGGGUUUACAAUAUUAAAAUCCAUUUAUAAUUACUUGGAUGUCAAAGCUCCAUAAACUUAUAAAUAUAUCCAUAAACUUGUAAUAUCAUAAUUUACGAUAGAAAUGAUAUCUUUUACAAUAUUAAGGCAAGAGUGGACCUUGGAGAAGUAAACUUGGUCCUUAUUCUCGUAAACACAGUGGUUACAACAAUAAGGACUCAUAUUACAAUGGUUUGGACAUAAAUGUUCCAUAAACUUAUAAAAUGGAUCUUUAAUCUAGUAUAUUACAAGAUUUGGGUUCCCAUUUACUUGUUUUUGCACCAUAAUUACAAAGUUAAGGGUCCUUAAUAAUCCAUAAUCUUAUAAUACUAUAAUUUAUAUUAGAAAAGAUCUAUCGUACAAUGUUAAGGUAAGGAUGGACAUUGGAGAAGUAAAUGUGGUUCUUAUUCUUGUAAACACAACGGUUUACAAUAUUAAGGACCCUUUUUACAAUUACUUGGACGUUAAAGUUCCAUAAACUUAUAAAGUGUAUUCAUAAACUUGUAAUAUCGUAAUUUACAAUGGAAAUGAUAUCAAUUACAAUAUUAAGGCAAUGGUGGACUUUGAAGAUGUAAAUUUGGUCUUUAUUCUUGUAAACUCAACAGUUUACAACAAUAAGGGCACGUAUUACAAUGGUUUGGACGUAAACAUUCCAUAUACUUAUAAAAUGGAUCCUUAAUAUGGUAUAUUACAAGAUCUGGGUUCCCAUUUAUGCAUUUUUUGCACCAUAAUUACAACGUAAAGGUUCCUUAUAAUCCAUAAUCUUAUAAUACUAUAAUUUACAUUAGAAAGGAUCUCUCUUACUUUGUUAAGGUAAGGAUGGACCUUGGAGAAGUAAAUGUAGUCCUUAUUCUUGUAAACACAAUGGUUUACAAUAUUAAGGACCCCUUUUACAAUUACUUGGAUGUCAAAGUUCCAUAAACUUAUAAAGUGUAUUUAUAAACUUGUAAUAUCGUGAUUUACAAUAGAAAGGAUAUCCAUUACAAUAUUAAGGCAAGGGUGGACCUUGGAGCUGUAAACUUGGUCCUUAUUCUUGUAAACUCAACAGUUUACAACAAUAAGGGCUCGUAUUACAAUGGUUUGGACGUAAACGUUCCAUAUACUUAUAAAAUGGAUCCUUAAUCUAGUAUAUUACAAGAUUUGGGUUCCCAUUUAUGCAUUUUUGCACCAUAAUUACAACAUAAAGGUUCCUUAUAAUCCAUAAUCUUAUAAUACUAUAAUUUACAUUAGAAAGGAUCUCUCUUACUUUGUUAAGGUAAGGAUGGACCUUGGAAAGGAGAAGUAAAUGUAGUCCUUAUUCUUGUAAACACAACAGUUUACAAUAUUAAAGGCCCCUUUUACAAUUACUUGGACGUCAAAGUUCCAUAAACUUAUAAAGUGUAUUCAUAAACUUGUAAUGUCGUAAUUUACAUUAGAAAUGAUAUCCAUUACAAUAUUAAGACAAGGGUGGACCUUGGAGAUGUAAACUUGGUCCUUAUUCUGGUAAACUCACCGGUUUACAACAAUAAGGGCUCGUAUUAUCAAAUGGAUCCCUAAUCUGGUAUAUUACAAGAUUUGGGUUCCCAUUUACGCGGUUUUGCACCAUAAUUACAAUAUUAAGGUUCUUUAUAGUCCUUAAUCUUGUAAUACUAUAAUUUACAUUAGAAAUCAUCUUCCUUAUAAUGUUAAGGCAAUGGUGGACCUUGGAAUGUAAACGUGGUCCUUAUUGUUGUAAAUGCAACACUUUACAACAUAAGGACUCGUACUACAAUUUUUUUGGAUAUAAGCAUUCCAUAAACAUGUAAAAUGGAUCCUUAAUCUCAUAGAUUACAAAAUUUGGGUUCCAAUUUACGCAUUUUGCCACCAAGAUUACAACCCGGAAUGACCCAUUUUAUAUAACCAAGUACAAAGGCCUUGGAGAAAUUUGAACAUGUUUCACAUACUAUAUAUGCAAUUGCCAAACAGGUAAUGGUAAUUGCAUACCGUAAUGCAAUUGCCAAACACGCGACAGUAAUUGCAUAGGUUAUUGUCAGUCCAAGUUGGUUUCUAAGUUUAGGCGAUUACAACUUUUGUAACUUAAUGCCAAACCUCGUAGCCCCAUAAUUGAUGAUCGGCCAUUAUUUUUUAUUAUUAAUAUAUUCAUAAUAUAUAUAUAUAAAUGUCCCCAAUAUGAGUACGAAUGAAAUAUGCACAAAAUUUUCUUUCUAUUAAAGUUCAAAACGACGUAUAACUACAAAAUAACAAGACCAUGUAAUUUGCAAUUUUUUGUCUGUAACUGAUAUAUUCUGGCUAGGCAAUUGCACUUACUUACAAUAGAAACAAGGAUUACACAAGCAAUUGCAUAUUGGUCCUCAUGAAAUUGCAUAAUGUUACUUAUGCAACUGCUUAAUAGUAAUGCAAUUGACAGACAGAAAUAAACUAAGCAACACGAGAAAUGCAAUCAACUGCCAAAACUUGGCCUUUAAUUGAUUUCUAACAUAAAUUGCAUAGCUUAAUUAUUUUUUGAGACUAUCAGAAUUAGAAAUAUUUGUAUGCAUUGCAUGAGUUGUGUUAUUAUUUAGAUCACAAGCUACAAUACAAUUUCUGCUCUGCUUUUUGCCAGUGACACUAUUUAUGGUCUUAACCGCAUAAUGCACCACACUAGCUAUCAAAAACUUGUGUUUUUCUGAAACAAUUGCACUAUAAGUUUAUGCUCUUAUUCACUUGCACUUCCUGUUCAAUUUAUAUAAACAAGUUCUUAUAAAGAAUCAUGGAAGAAGAGAAUAACUCAAACAAAAUCCUACAUCCAAGCAUUUGUUUUGUGCAUGCAGAUGGGGCAACCCCAAAUAAAUUCACUCAUUAUCCAUAUCAUACACAAGUACAUUAUUAAAAUAAAAAAGCCACCAAAAUACCACCAAACUUAUUAUUAACAAUAUGAAAAAUAUGAAUGGAAAUUUCAACAUAUAAUAUGAACUUGAGGAGCGCCAUUCAUAUUCAACAACAACCAAAAUAAAUCGUAUAAUAUGAAUGGUAAAUUAAUCACAAUAAAGAUACAAGUUCUAGAACUUCAAACUAGCCUGGCAAAAAAGGGAAUUUAAAUAUAAAAUUGCAUACCAAGCAGAUCCAACCAAUAGUAAAGUAAACUUGGAAUGCCAAAAAUAUUCAACAAAAAACCUGAACAACAUAAAACCCAGAAAAUAUUAGGCUAAAUAAGAAAUGGAAGAGAAUAAAAAAGAAAUAUGAAACAAAACCAAGGAAAAAAAUUGUUCCUGAUGGGUGAGGUUUUCAGUGAAACUUAAAUCUGCGAUGAGAUGGGGUUCAAGAUUCGAAUAUACAGCAAUAAGACAUUAUAGCUGGGCUGAGAUGAGAUUGAAGAUCCCGCACGCAGUUUGCAUCAAGCCUUUGUCACUGUUGAGAGAGAGGAGAGCUUAUCAAUCUGUAUAUGGGAGGAAGACUCAGUCACUGCCAUGAAGAAAUAGAGGAGUCGAUGUUUUAGAUGGGUUGUUGGUCACCGUCGACAAAGUGAUAAAAGAGAGGGAGCUUUUCUGUUUUUGAAAAAAAAUCUCAAAUGAGAUGAGGGAUUAGGGUUGAGAUGGAGAGAUGCUAUGGUGUAGAGGAGAAAGGCCCAUCAUAAUCUUUUCUUUUUCUUUUUCUUUCUUUUUAAAAAAUAAAAUAUAUAAUAUUUACCUGCUACCUGUUGGGGCAGUUUAAAAAAAGUGGUGCAUUGGUGCGCCGAGUGCACCAUAGACGUUGCCCAAGUGUUGACUACCUUCCAUAGGCUAGGCUUUAUUUUCCUUGGGCUGAGUUAAGUGAUGUACUGGUGUUGAUUUUUAAUAUUUAAAACUUAAAAUUAGAAAUUACCGAGAUUGUGAUGUAUUGUGAAAAUGAGGGGGUUUAGGUUUGGGUUUAGGCGGAGAACUCAGGGGCUCUAUUUAUAAUAUAAUGAUCGAGGACAAAAACAAAAUUCAUUUCUUUUGUUGGCCUUUAUUAUUAUUUUCUUGGAGAGUGGGAAAAAGCAAGAGCAUCUCUUUGGGACUUGCGUUGGAUGCAUCAACAUGUAUGUGUCAGCCUUUUUUAUUUAUUUAUUUAGUACAACUGAUAGUUCAACUAGAGGAGAAAGGAAUUUCUCUCACACACAACUAUCAUAUAAUGGGAGUUCAGACUUAAGACCUUUGGUCUGUAAGUCAAUACUCUUUUCUAUUGGGUUAUGAGCACACUAGCCUGUUAAAACUCAAUACAAAUCUAAAAUAUAUAUUUUUUAACUUAAAAUAUACAUAUAUCAAGGAUCUUUAACUUGUAGAAAUCAAAAUACAACCUAAAUAAGAACAUCCAUGAUGAGAGGUGUAAAUUCGAGGGUGUAAAGUCACUUUUACAUCUGCAACUAAUGUAAAUCAUGUUUUAUCUGAUGGUGAAAAUGUAAAUCCGAAGAUGUAAAGUUGAUUUUCUAGUAUUAAUUCAUUUUUGUGUUAACUUUUUAAAUUAUUAUUUUUUGUUUUUCCAAAUCAAUGGAGUAAACAAAAUUUAAAUCGCAAUAACAUAAGAUUAAACAAGUUUUGUUGAUUUAUUUUAGUUGGGCAUACAUAGAGAAAUUUUUUUUCCCGAAAUGUUUAGAUCUUUUUGUUUGAAUUUUUAGGUCAUUUUUUCUCGUCUUGUAACAGCCGUUGAAUUUCAAACUGAAGAAGAUCAUAGUUGUCUGUUGGAGGAAGAGAGGUAGUGCGCUUGCAUCACAAGCAACACCCAUUAAUUGGAGAAACACUUGUGUGAAACGAGAAUAUCACUAUUUUGCUAUUCUCGAGCAAUCAUAACACGGCACGCGUGAUAACUUUUCAACGUGAAAAUUUAUGAUUGGUUAGGAUAGCAAAACAGUACUAUCCCUAUUUCAUACAAAUUUUUCUACAUUAGCUGGGGCCUGCAUUUACUCCCUCUCAUCCCUUUUUUCUACACCAACUUGGUCUUCUCUCUCUUCCUUUACCUAUGUGGACCCCAAUUGGAGGUAUACACAACCCGUCUUUUUUCCCAUCUCCGACAAAAAAUGUAGAUGUCCCUUUACACCUCAUCCUCAGUGUGGAUGUUCUCAGGAAAAUUCCCAAACCAAAUAGACAUAUCCGUGACUUGAUUAAUUUCAAGGUAUGAAUGUGAUAAAAGUUAUUGUUCUAUUGUUGCCUUUUGUUUUUUCAAAUGCAAUUCCUAUUUACCCAAAACCAAAUAAAUAUAAAAUAUGUCCAUAGCAUUUAAGCAUGUAGUCAUUUUUUAAAUCUAUUUUGUAGCUUGGCUGCUCAAUAUGCAAACAUUAAUAUCAAGUCCUCGAUUCCUUGCAAUUCAUAAUUUAUUAGAAGUGUGAACAUUGGAAUAGUAAUACUUGUAUUCACAUUGACCAGAAAACUAUUGUCUAUUUUUUUUAUAUAUAGAGAAAACGAUAAAAUAGAUUGAAGCAAAACACCAUUACAUAAUAUCAUCUAUUAAAACAUCUUGAAUGAUAUAUGGAGAUCCUAAGAAGAUAAAUUCGAUAAAAAUAAAGUAUAACAAACAAGACUACAUGGUACUUGAUUAGUUUCACAAAACACGUUAACAAUAUUAACAACUGAAACUUGAGCCAAAACUAUUGUUCUUUUGUUUUGGUGUGAACACUCACAAAACUAUUCAAUAGCCCUCAUUGUCAAGACAUUUCUUUCAAUCUUUCAUUUUUCCCCACUUCUUGUCUUUUUUCCCAAUUGGCUCCUAAUUUGGUUGGUUUUUUUCUUUAUAAUUUUGAAAACACCCCAAUUUCGACUUCUCCUUCCAAUUGAUAAAGGGAAAUCUAAAAGAAAGUGGAGUAAUUAGAUUGAGGAAGACGACAAUAAUGCAUAAUGUAACUCUAGCAUUGAUUGAUCUGACAAAACGACUGAAUAUAUGACGUAUGGGCUUACAAAGAAAAGCUGAAAACUCUCGAUCGAGGUUCACUACUGACGGAUGUUAUCAUCCCAACUCAAAUGCACCAGAUUCCAUCAGAACUCCGAAGUUAAGCGAGUUUGGGUGAGAGUAGUACUAAGAUGGGUGACCUCCUAGGAAGUCCUCGUGUUGCAUCCAUUUAUUUUUGUGUAAAAAAAAAAGAAGCCCGCUACUGACAUUGACAUACACGUCCGUUGUCCAGCCCAUGCGGCCCAUGUUCUCUAUGGGGCUCAAUUAAAACUAAACCCAUAAGCUUUAAGCCCAUCAGGCCCAAAAAUCACAAAAUGCUCUCGUACUCUUCCCAACGUUUCUCAUCCCACCUAGCAGAAGCCUUGCCUAAAAAAGAAAAAUGAGUAAAAGAUGUCUCCAUGAAGCUCAUAAGAGCAUUCACAAUGGACUUCAUAAACUACCUCCUUAUAUAAAAUUUAGGGAGGAUGUGAGAAAACUCACAUCUAACCAUGCUCCCUAUUCAACUCCUAAAAUAGGGAGACCUCUAAGAGCUCCUAAAUAUGAGGAGAGAGAAAGAACUCCUACCUUAUAAUUAAAUGAUGCUUUACUAUUUAUUUUUAUUAUUUUAUAUGAAGAUGGAGCAUUUAUGCUAAACUAAAAAAAGAAAUAAAUCAUUUAUGAUUCCCCAAACUAGGAAGCAUGGUUGGAGUUGAAAUUUUAUAAGGAGCUCUUAAAAUAACUUUAUAGUGUUUUUAACGAAAAAAUAAGGAGCAUGAUUGUGUAUAUGCUUAUGCUAGAUCAUAUUCAGCAUAUACAACUUAAGGUAUGCUUUAGACCCAAAAACAAAAACAAAAAAUAAAAAGCUAUAUCAUGGUUAUGUUAACAUAAUAUAAUAUUAUUUUAUUAUUUCAAUAGAAGGGUCGAGUUCAAUUUUCGUGUUACCAUUUUCUUUGUGCCCAUCAUGUCCUCUUUAUUCUUUUAACAUGUGUCAUUUCAGAACUCUAACUUUGUUAAAUAUAUUAAUUUGUAUUAAAAUUAAAUAUAAUAAAAGAUUUUCUAUUUAAACCCCACACUUCUCUUUGUUCACCCCAAUACUUAAAUCAUUAAACUGUAAGUUUUAUUAUUGUGUAAAAAGACAAAAAAGGUCAUCUAACUUAAUAAUUAACCCUAGUACAUCUAUACACACACCCCACCACUCUUCAUAUUAAGUUUUAGAAACCUCCUUCUAAUUUCUUGUUUACAAGCUCUCUCUCUCUCUCUCUCAACAAUACCCAAGUGUUAGAAUUCCAGUUACAGUUCUUGGAGAGAGGUAAAUCUUUUCUCUUUCUUUAGAAAGUAUUAAAUUUCGGAUUUGGGGUUUCAUUUGUUUGUGUUUUUUUUGGUUGGGAGCAAAGAAAAUCUCUUUUAGUUAUUAUUUUUCAAUCUGGGGUGUAUUUAAGAGUAGUUUGGGAAGAUAGUGGGGUUUUCUUAGAAAUUAUGAAAAUUUAAAUUAAAAGUUAGGGUGAACUUAAAACAUAGGGUGAACUAAGAGAAGUGUGGGAUUUAAUUAGAAAAUCUCUAUAAUAAUUAUACAAACGCGAUUUCUUCAUCUUCUUUGCAACCCAGCGGCAACAACCUCUACCCCUACCGCCCAAGCCUCCUUUUCUCUCUCUUAAAAUUGUCGAACCAGAUCAAGAUUGUUGAACUGCCCAACCUACUCUCCACUUCGAGUGAAUCAUCAACAGUGACGCUUGCUUGCCCUUCGUCACUAAAUUAAAAUUUUCUCUCCAAACAACCACAUGCACUCUGCCUCGACGACGCCGAAAAAUCUUAAAGGGUAUAGUUUUUAGAUUUUUCAGUUCUUCAAAGUUUCAACCUUGGAGCAUUUUGAUCUUUGCCAAAGUUGUUUCGCCCCAAAAACCAACACUUGAUUCUCCUCGGAUCAUCUUCACAUGAGAGAGAGAGAGAGAGAGAGAGAGAGAGAGACCAUAGAAUCAUUGGCGGAGCCAAUUAAGGCCCACAAGGGUCACUUGACCCUUCUCAACAUUUUGAAAAUAUUAUAUUUAUUUAUGUUAUCCAAGUUGUUUUAUAACUAUAUUUACUAUAUUGACCAUUCUCACAAAUAUAAAUUGUCUACAAUGAACGUGAAUAUGAUCUAUAUUUGUUUUCAUGUCUUCAUAUGUCAUUUAUAUGUGUGUCAUGGAUUUAUUUGAUUUUCUCAUUCUAUCUAAAAUCAACUUUUAAUACUCUUUCAUUAUUUUUAGGUUGCUAGAAUUUGGGUUAUACUUACUAAGAUAUUAAAUUUGUGAUAUUGAAAUUUAAUUAUUAUAAUGAAUUCUUAUAUAUGUUUUUCUAUAAAAACUAAGUCCCUUGUAAUUAUAAAGCUAUUUAAAGUUGACCUUCUUUAAUAGAAUUUCUGGCUCCGCCAUUGCGUAGAAUGGUUGUGGUGGUCAGCUAUUGGAGUUAGGUUGGUGGUUCCUCGAGGGCUGUUGGGUAUUUACCUUUUUAGUUUUAAUGUUUUUUAAUUGAAUGAUAAGUUAACAGAUAAUUGAAUGAUAAGUUAAUAGAGUUAAGUUAAUGGUAAAUGAGAGGACAUGUGUCACAAAAAUAAAGGAGAAACAAGGUGGCACAUGGAAAAUGGCAACAGGAAAAAUAAACUCCUUUGGGUCGUCUCCUUUAUUUCGUGUUUUUUUUAGUCUGACCUUUAUUUCGUGUUUAUGACAAAAAGAAAAUGAACCUUCCUGUGUAGGCCAUGGCCCAUGCAUGCCUUGCCCAACAUAUUUAUAGACACAAGUUGGCAGCGUGCAAAUAAUCAUCAAUUAUAUUAAAGUGAUGUGUACCUUUUUAUAUAAGCAAGCAAUGUUGGUAGCAGGGAUCAAACACAUGACAUUAGAUUCAAGAAUAAACAUUUAACUACUUGAGUUACAAAUUUUUACUAACGCGACGUGUAGUUGUUAGUCAAUGAAUUUAAAUGAAAUCAUUGAUCCUAAAAAUGGAAUACAACUAAAAUAUAAGACAUGUAAUUUACAAAAAACGGUAGAUUGUAAAGUAAAAAGUAAUUGGGAAUUGCCAGGGAAAGUUUGAGUUCGAUGUAAAUGCACAACUUCACCAGAUCUUAUAUAGAAUAACACCGCACCAUUUGAAACGACAAAACAUUGGGACACAACAGAAAGAAACUAUUCAACAUAAACAAGUCUCUAAUGAUCUCCAUAUGAGAUUUUAAGCUCUAAAUCACACGUAUACUUCUUCUUAAGCUUUUUUACACACAUAACCAUCGCACACCCAUCCUUCUUGAGGAGGAUCUUGUUCCUGCUUGGCAUCACUUUUGGCUCCUUUAUCUUCCUCUAAUGCACAUUUUGGGUGGAGAUCAAAGUUACACGCCUCACAGUAGAAUGACCACCCCUCUUCUUCCGGCUCAUCACACCCAUCACAUGUAUAAUCUUUACGGCGAGCAAGCGCGAGCUCGUGCUCCUCAUGCUGUGCACUCUUCAACUUCUGAGGCCACCCCUUUGCCAUCUCCUCAGACUCUGCUUCUAUCUCUUUCAGCCGCUCUUCAGUGAAAGGAUAAGCAUUUGCCCCAUGCUGCAUAACGAGGUCUCUUGCUUCUUUUGUGACUGUUUGGCCAGUAGGACCAAUGGCUAUAAGCAUGGGGAUGCCUUGCACCUUGAAUCUGCGGCUUAAGGAUGCUUUUCUUGAGUCACCGAAGGGAAGAGCAAGCCAUGGCAUUCCAGAGAAAAAC
This 21299-nucleotide long non-coding RNA is filed under the name Prunus persica (peach). Lineage: Eukaryota; Viridiplantae; Streptophyta; Magnoliopsida; Rosales; Rosaceae. The record is from RNAcentral.